Molecule: unclassified non-coding RNA, 342 nt
Filed under: soil metagenome
Description: partial contains 5.8S ribosomal RNA, internal transcribed spacer 2, and large subunit ribosomal RNA
Rfam family: 5.8S ribosomal RNA (bases 1-119)
Source: RNAcentral
AUGAAGAACGCAGCGAAAUGCGAUAAGUAAUGUGAAUUGCAGAAUUCAGUGGAUCAUCGAAUCUUUGAACGCACAUUGCGCCCGCUAGUAUUCUGGCGGGCAUGCCUGUCCGAGCGUCAUUUCAACCCUCAAGCCCCCGGGCUUGGUGUUGGGGAUCGGCGAGCCUCCGCGCCCGCCGUCCCCUAAAUCUAGUGGCGGUCUCGCUGUAGCUUCCUCUGCGUAGUAGCACACCUCGCACUGGGAAACAGCGCGGCCACGCCGUUAAACCCCCAACUUCUGAACGUUUGACCUCGGAUCAGGUAGGAAUACCCGCUGAACUUAAGCAUAUCAAUAAGCGGAGGA